Molecule: ribosomal RNA, 1524 nt
Filed under: uncultured bacterium
Lineage: Bacteria
Description: bacterial SSU rRNA
Rfam family: Bacterial small subunit ribosomal RNA
Source: RNAcentral
AGAGUUUGAUCAUGGCUCAGGAUGAACGCUAGCUACAGGCUUAACACAUGCAAGUCGAGGGGCAGCAUGAAGAUGUGCUUGCACAACUUUGAUGGCGACCGGCGCACGGGUGAGUAACGCGUAUCCAACCUUCCCUAUAGUAGAGAAUAGCCCGGCGAAAGUCGGAUUAAUGCUCUAUGUUCUUCUUUGAUGGCAUCUGACGAGAAGCAAAGGUUCACCGCUAUAGGAUGGGGAUGCGUCUGAUUAGGUUGUUGGCGGGGUAACGGCCCACCAAGCCUACGAUCAGUAGGGGUUCUGAGAGGAAGGUCCCCCACAUUGGUACUGAGACACGGACCAAACUCCUACGGGAGGCAGCGGUGAGGAAUAUUGGUCAACGGGCGAGAGCCUGAACCAGCCAAGUAGCGUGCAGGAUGACUGCCCUAUGGGUUGUAAACUGCUUUUAUGCGGGAAUAAAGUCCACUACGUGUAGUGGUUUGUAUGUACCGCAUGAAUAAGGACCGGCUAAUUCCGUGCCAGCAGCCGCGGUAAUACGGAAGGUCCGGGCGUUAUCCGGAUUUAUUGGGUUUAAAGGGAGCGCAGGCUGGAUUUUAAGCGUGUUGUGAAAUGCGGCGGCUCAACCGUCGAUGUGCAGCGCGAACUGGAGUCCUUGAGUGAGUACGAGGAAGGCGGAAUUCGUGGUGUAGCGGUGAAAUGCUUAGAUAUUACUCAGAACACCGAUUGCGAAGGCAUCUCACGAAUCCGACAUUGACGCUGAGGCACGAAAGCGUGGGGAUCAAACAGGAUUAGAUACCCUGGUAGUCCACGCAGUAAACGAUGAUGACUAACCGUCGGCGAUAGACAGUCGGUGGCCAAGCGAAAGCGAUAAGUCAUCCACCUGGGGAGUACGACCGCAAGGUUGAAACUCAAAGGAAUCGACGGGGGCCCGCACAAGCGGAGGAACAUGUGGUUUAAUUCGAUGAUACGCGAGGAACCUUACCCGGGCUCGAACGGUGCAGGAAGGAUCAAGAGAUUGUGACGCCCUUCGGGGCCUGCAUCGAGGUGCUGCAUGGUUGUCGUCAGCUCGUGUCGUGAGAUGUUGGCUCAAGUGCCAUAACGAGCGCAACCCUUGCCGCCAGUUGCCAUCAAGUAAUGUUGGGGACUCUGGCGGGACUGCCACCGCAAGGUGUGAGGAGGGGGGGGAUGACGUCAAAUCAGCACGGCCCUUACGUCCGGGGCGACACACGUGUUACAAUGGCGGCCACAGAGGGAGGCUACCCCGCGAGGGGAUGCGGAUCUCGAAAAGCCGUCCCAGUUCGGAUCGCAGUCUGCAACCCGACUGCGUGAAGUUGGAUUCGCUAGUAAUCGCGCAUCAGCCAUGGCGCGGUGAAUACGUUCCCGGGCCUUGUACACACCGCCCGUCAAGCCAUGGAAGCCGCGGGCGCCUGAAGUCCGUGACCGAGAGGAGCGGCCUAGGGCGAAAGUGGUAACUGGGGCUAAGUCGUAACAAGGUAGCCGUACCGGAAGGUGUGGCUGGAACACCUCCUU